UACGGGGGGAGCAAGCGUUGUUCGGAUUUACUGGGCGUAAAGGGCUCGUAGGCGGCCAACUAAGUCACACGUGAAAUCCCCGGGCUCAACCUGGGAACUGCAUUGGUGACUGCAAGGCUUGAGUGUGUCAGAGGGAGGUGGAAUUCCGCGUGUAGCAGUGAAAUGCGUAGAUAUGCGGAGGAACACCGAUGGCGAAGGCAGCCUCCUGGGAUAACACUGACGCUCAUGCACGAAAGCGUGGGGAGCAAACAGG
RNAcentral lists this ribosomal RNA (253 nucleotides) under uncultured bacterium. RNAcentral's name for it is "partial 16S ribosomal RNA". It matches the Rfam family "Bacterial small subunit ribosomal RNA", at positions 524 to 776 of the family's 1533-position model. The record is from RNAcentral.